This 488-nucleotide ribosomal RNA is filed under the name uncultured bacterium. RNAcentral describes it as "bacterial SSU rRNA". It matches the Rfam family "Bacterial small subunit ribosomal RNA", at positions 29 to 507 of the family's 1533-position model. The record is from RNAcentral.
AUGAACGCUAGCGGCAGGCUUAACACAUGCAAGUCAGGGGCAGCAUAAUGGAUAGCAAUAUCUAUGGNGGUCGACCGGCGCACGGGUGCGUAACGCGUAUGCAACCUACCGUUUAACAGGGGGAUAACACUGAGAAAUUGGUACUAAUACCCCGUAAUAUCAUAGAAGGCAUCUUUUAUGGUUGAAAAUUCCGAUGGUUAGAGAUGGGCAUGCGUUGUAUUAGCUAGUUGGUGAGGUAACGGCUCACCAAGGCGACGAUACAUAGGGGGACUGAGAGGUUAACCCCCCACACUGGUACUGAGACACGGACCAGACUCCUACGGGAGGCAGCAGUGAGGAAUAUUGGUCAAUGGACGCAAGUCUGAACCAGCCAUGCCGCGUGCAGGAUGACGGCUCUAUGAGUUGUAAACUGCUUUUGUACUAGGGUAAACUCACCUACGUGUAGGUGACUGAAAGUAUAGUACGAAUAAGGAUCGGCUAACUCCGUG